CAGAGUAUGAAAAGGGAAAGGGAGAGCCUUGGGGGAACCUCUGCUCAGCAUCAGGAACAGAAGGCAGAGCUCAGGAUGACCUUCACCAUGGCCUGGUCCUGUCUCCUCUUCAUAUUCCUUUUUCAGUGCACAGGGUCCUGGGCACACUCAGUGCUGACUCAGCAGCCCUCAAUAUCUGGAACUCCAGGAGAGACAGUCACCAUCUCCUGCAUUGGAAGUAGCAACAAUAUUGGUAGCUAUUAUGUGAACUGGUACCAGCAGAUCCCAGAAAGGGCCCCUAAACUCCUCAUCUAUGAUAAUAGUUAUCGACCCUCAGGAGUCCCUGAUCGCUUCUCUGGCUCCAGAUCUGGCAACUCUGGUUCAUUGAUCAUCACAAACAUACGGCCUGAGGAUGAGGGUGACUAUUACUGUCAGUCUUAUGACAGUAGCCUCAGUUAUCACACAGUGUUCCAGGCUCAUGGAGAAGAAUUCUAA
Non-coding RNA from Marmota monax (woodchuck), 474 nucleotides. NCBI's taxonomy places the organism in Eukaryota, Metazoa, Chordata, Mammalia, Rodentia, Sciuridae. The record is from the annotation of a RefSeq genome assembly.